UCACUUGUUCUUUAAAUGAGGACUAGUAUGAACGGCUUCACGAAUGCUAUACUGUCUCCUUUAUCCAAUCAGUUAAACUAAUCUCCCCGUGAAGAAGCGGGGAUUCACUUAUAAGACGAGAAGACCCUAUGGAGCUUUAAACACUCUUAAACAUUUGAACCCUUUAUUAUUUACCUCCAGAAAACUUCACUAAACCCCCUCAUUUUGUUUAAACUUUUAGGUUGGGGCGACCACGGAGAAAAACCUAACCUCCACGUGGAAAGAAACUUAAUUCUAAGCAAAAAGCCACAUCUUUAUGCAUCAAUAAUAUUGACCUAAAUUGACCCAAUUAUUUGAUAAACGAACCAAGUUACCCUAGGGAUAACAGCGCAAUCCGCUUUAAGAGCUCCUAUCGACAAGCGGGCUUACGACCUCGAUGUUGGAUCA
RNAcentral lists this ribosomal RNA (426 nucleotides) under Allobates fuscellus. Its description in RNAcentral is "partial large subunit ribosomal RNA". It matches the Rfam family "Bacterial large subunit ribosomal RNA", at positions 1965 to 2539 of the family's 2925-position model. Lineage: Eukaryota; Metazoa; Chordata; Amphibia; Anura; Aromobatidae. The record is from RNAcentral.